UUCCGGUUGAUCCCGCCGGAGGCCACUGCUAUGGGGGUCCGACUAAGCCAUGCGAGUCAUGGGGCGCCUUGCGCGCACCGGCGGACGGCUCAGUAACACGUCGGUAACCUACCCUCGGGAGGGGGGUAACCCCGGGAAACUGGGGCUAAUCCCCCAUAGGCCUGAGGUACUGGAAGGUCCUCAGGCCGAAAGGGGCUCUGCCCGCCCGAGGAUGGGCCGGCGGCCGAUUAGGUAGUUGGUGGGGUAACGGCCCACCAAGCCGAAGAUCGGUACGGGCCAUGAGAGUGGGAGCCCGGAGAUGGACACUGAGACACGGGUCCAGGCCCUACGGGGCGCAGCAGGCGCGAAACCUCCGCAAUGCGGGCAACCGCGACGGGGGGACCCCCAGUGCCGUGGCAUCGCCACGGCUUUUCCGGAGUGUAAAGAGCUCCGGGAAUAAGGGCUGGGCAAGGCCGGUGGCAGCCGCCGCGGUAAUACCGGCGGCCCGAGUGGUGGCCGCUAUUAUUGGGCCUAAAGCGUCCGUAGCCGGGCCCGUAAGUCCCUGGCGAAAUCCCACGGCUCAACCGUGGGGCUUGCUGGGGAUACUGCGGGCCUUGGGACCGGGAGAGGCGGAGGGUACUCCUGGGGUAGGGGUGAAAUCCUAUAAUCCCAGGAGGACCGCCAGUGGCGAAGGCACUCCGCUGGAACGGGUCCGACGGUGAGGGACGAAGGCCAGGGGAGCGAACCGGAUUAGAUACCCGGGUAGUCCUGGCUGUAAAGGAUGCGGGCUAGGUGUCGGGCGAGCUUCGUGCUCGCCCGGUGCCGAAGGGAAGCCGUUAAGCCCGCCGCCUGGGGAGUACGGCCGCAAGGCUGAAACUUAAAGGAAUUGGCGGGGGAGCACUACAAGGGGUGGAGCGUGCGGUUUAAUUGGAAUCAACGCCGGG
RNAcentral lists this ribosomal RNA (923 nucleotides) under uncultured archaeon. RNAcentral's name for it is "bacterial SSU rRNA". It matches the Rfam family "Archaeal small subunit ribosomal RNA", at positions 1 to 922 of the family's 1478-position model. The record is from RNAcentral.